GAACAGAGGCCACCUUCGCCUGAGGGGUAGUGGUGGCCCUGCCCGGUUCCUUUUCUUCUCCUGCUGGCUCUCAAGCCCUUGUUCUCUCUGCAGUCUGCAUGAGCUCGUGAGACAUGGAGAGAAUGGCCUGGUCUUCAAGGACGCUGAGGAACUGGCCACUCAGCUACAGAUGCUUUUCUCAAAGUUUCCCGACCCUGCUGGGAAGCUGAGCCAGUUCCGGAAGAGACUCCAGGAGUCAGAGCAGCUACGAUGGGAUGAGAGCUGGCAGCAGACUGUGCUGCCGUUGUUGGUCACUCACAAAUGACCUCCAGGCCCAGAGGGUAGGCCCCAUCCAUCCUGUGCCCACCCUUCCUGCCAGGGCUCUUGAGUGCCCCCUAGUGGUCAGAAGCCUGAGGACGGCAGUGGUUACACCCAGGAAAAGAAUCAUCCAGCAUCUGAGAAGCUCUUCCGAACUGAGGACUUUUGUUACUUCCGGUGACCCUGCCAACCAACUUCUUCAUCCUGGGUUUUUGUUUCUGGACUCUUCACAUUCCUUGUAUUCUGGUUCUGCUGGCUGCUGUGAGCUCUGGGAUA
RNAcentral lists this long non-coding RNA (573 nucleotides) under Rattus norvegicus (Norway rat). Its description in RNAcentral is "long non-coding RNA NONRATT005206". Lineage: Eukaryota; Metazoa; Chordata; Mammalia; Rodentia; Muridae. The record is from RNAcentral.